AGGUGGGAGGAAGAGAAACAAAGGAGGAAUUAAAGUGGUAAAGAAACAACUAGUUUAAUCUAAAAUUGAGGAAGAUGGCAAGCAAACACACAAAAGAAGAGCUGGGAAGCAGCCCUGCUAUCAAGAGAUGAUGAUGAUGAUGAUGAUGAUGAUAGAGGAGGAGGAGGAAGAGGCCUGGCCUAGAUUUGCAACUGAAUGAAGUGAUGGCAUCCUGAUGUGAUAGAGUGGGCAGAUAGAUUGCAAGUGGAAAGAAACUAUGUUGUUAACAAAAAUACAGUUUCAGUCAGAAGUCAAUGGAAGGAUCUGGCUGCUGGAAGACUGCUCCGUACCUCAUCCCCCUGAUGCUUCUGAUGCGGGUGAUCCUCCGACUGCACGGCGCCAACCACAACAUGCUACCCACCGUGAGAGAGCAGGACGCAGGCUGCUCUAGUCAGGAGUUAUCGUCUAUCAUACUGAUUGACGAAACCAAGAGUGAGCAGAAAAAAUAAACAUGAACAGAGGCUGCAGUGUAUGGGGCAGUCAGCUGGGAGUUCUAGUAUUUGGCCUUGGUGAUCCUACUCUCAUGGUAGGUUAUCUUUUCCUUGUGCUAUCAUUUAUCAUAACUUUGAGGGCCAGUGAAAGAAGCAAACCCUAUGAUUUUUCUAUUGGGGACAUUAAUUAAGUGCUUCUUUUUUUAGAACUACUUCCUUUGCCCCGCAAUAACAAUUCCACUACCUCAGUCUCUGUUCCCUGGAGAACAGUGAAACCCAAUCUAAGUACAGUCCGCUGCUGCUUCUCCUUUAAAAAAAGAACCCAAAAAACUUUUAUUACAGCAAUAGGCCAUUUUAGGCAAUUAACCUUUGCUAAACUGUCAAACCCGGAAUUCAUAUGCAGACAUAUCCUAUCGCAAACAUUAACUUUCCAUCACAGCAAAGAAGUUUAAAAGACAGCAACGUCCUUCAUAUUAUUUGCCAAUGGACGUUGCCUUUGUCACUAACAACUCCUCUUGAAAUAAUGGCAGUUGACUUUUGCAGGCACAAACCAAACCAUGUAUUGAUCUUGACAGCCACCAUAAAGUACUCUCUGAAGUGUCAGUAACAAAGAUGAUUUGUAUGUGGCUUGCAGUCUUCCAGUGUCUUAAUAGCUUUCUCAUUCCAACACAGAAAACGCCAAGCAUAAACCAGCUGGUUAAAGCUGAUACAAGCAUUUCUUCUCUCAGCAGGCCAUUCUUGCAUAACCAUUUAUUCUGCCGAGUUUUAAAGUGCCUGAAGGAUUUAAUUAUGUACAUAGACAACCACUAUAAACUCUAUUCUAGGUUUUUUAUUGACUUUUGUACUGGGCAGCUCUUAGGCAUUUCAAUUAAGUGUUUUUAUAAGAAAAGCUACAAUAUUGUAAACUAUAUAUAUUUUUUCUCCUUUGUAGAUCAUUCCAAACAGUUCGGAUUGAUUGAAUAAAGUUUAUUUAAUUGACAGGAUCUUUAGUAGCUUGAAAACUAGUCAUGAAGAUGUACAUAAUAAGAUACGUUUCAAUAGGCUGCCAGGAUCAUUAAAAGUAUCAGAAGAAAACAGUUUGGCUCACAUAACACCAGAGGCGUAUCUAGGGAAAAUAGUGCCUAGGGCAAGCACUGAAAUUGCGCCCCCUUUCCAAAUACCUGACACCCAUUUUUCAGAUAACUUUACCAUAAUAUCAGCUGAAAAAUACAAGGAAAGCUUGUUAAUCUUUUAAUAUUUCGAAAACUAUUUAGCAGUGGAUAUAGCCAGACCAAAAAAUGCUGCAAAACUACAAAUUUCAGUAUGAUGGGGCUCAUGAAAUACCCAAAUACUAUGUGGAGGUGUACUUGGAAAACUAAUGUCUAAUUCUUUACUAUGCAUUGCAGCAUCACUAUUACAUAAGUUUUAAAAAUAAAUGCAGAAUUUGAC
Hemicordylus capensis (graceful crag lizard) is the source of this 1898-nucleotide long non-coding RNA. RefSeq lists it as uncharacterized. Lineage: Eukaryota; Metazoa; Chordata; Lepidosauria; Squamata; Cordylidae. The transcript is spliced from 4 exons. The record is from RefSeq and is a predicted model, not a curated record.